AAGCGUUGGAAAUAUCAAAGAGUAGGUCAUAUUAGUAAGGAGUGCCCUAAUAGGGACAUUAAGUGUUGAAAAUAUCAAGCAGUAGGUCAUAUUAGUACGGACUGCCCUAAUAGGAGGACUGUGACCAUACAAAAUGGUAAGGUAGUGACGGAUGAUGAAGAGGGUGACAAUGAGAGUAGUAGUUAGGAUGAGAUGCUCAAAUUAUAGAGUGGUAAUGAGGGGAGUGUUGAAGAACCAAUUAGGAGUAAUUUAUUGA
This 256-nucleotide long non-coding RNA is filed under the name Ricinus communis (castor bean). RNAcentral describes it as "long non-coding RNA (RCOM_LNC001210)". The record is from RNAcentral. Lineage: Eukaryota; Viridiplantae; Streptophyta; Magnoliopsida; Malpighiales; Euphorbiaceae.